AUUGAACGCUGGCGGCAUGCCUUACACAUGCAAGUCGAACGGCAGCACGGGUGCUUGCUCCUGGUGGCGAGUGGCGAACGGGUGAGUAAUACAUCGGAACAUGUCCUGUAGUGGGGGAUAGCCCGGCGAAAGCCGGAUUAAUACCGCAUACGAACCACGGAUGAAAGCGGGGGGCCUGCGGGCCUCGCGCUAUAGGGUUGGCCGAUGGCUGAUUAGCUAGUUGGUGGGGUAAAGGCCUACCAAGGCGACGAUCAGUAGCUGGUCUGAGAGGACGACCAGCCACACUGGGACUGAGACACGGCCCAGACUCCUACGGGAGGCAGCAGUGGGGAAUUUUGGACAAUGGGCGAAAGCCUGAUCCAGCAAUGCCGCGUGUGUGAAGAAGGCCUUCGGGUUGUAAAGCACUUUUGUCCGGAAAGAAAUCCUUGGCCCUAAUACGGUCGGGGGAUGACGGUACCGGAAGAAUAAGCACCGGCUAACUACGUG
Molecule: ribosomal RNA, 486 nt
Filed under: uncultured bacterium
Lineage: Bacteria
Description: partial 16S ribosomal RNA
Rfam family: Bacterial small subunit ribosomal RNA
Source: RNAcentral